CAACUCCAUGGAUCCUGUACAGAUUACAGAGGAGGAGGUGUUCCCUUGGACCCUACAGGAAAUACAGAGAUGAAGAAAUUUCUCCAUUCUGCUCUUUGUGAAAGUCACAUCAUGACUGGGAAUUUCUUUUGGACUACCCUUGGCUUUGGA
Molecule: long non-coding RNA, 150 nt
Organism: Mobula hypostoma (lesser devil ray)
Lineage: Eukaryota; Metazoa; Chordata; Chondrichthyes; Myliobatiformes; Myliobatidae
Exons: 3
Source: RefSeq, a predicted model, not a curated record